CCGUCGUCAGCUACACCUCCCUCCUCGGGAUCCUCCCUAUCUGGAUCCGCCGCCACUACUUCAUUCCACCAGCCAACGCGGGUUAGUCAGAUCCAUCAAUCCUGUCCGUUUGUGGUCAGAUCGGGCGAACGGGAGGCCUCCUCAUUGCAGCGACAAACAGGCCCGCAAGGUCGAGCGCCUCGUUCCCAUCUUCUCUAGCCUCGAUCCAGGUUGAAUCGGAGCAGCACCGGCGAGCGCCACCACCAGGUCGCAACAACCUUAAGCACAUGCCCCUCUCCUUCCUUUCCAUCAUUCCUCUCUCUAACCUCCCCGCUCUCCCUUUCUUCUAUGUUGGUGAGGAACAACCAUAGAAUUCAAGAACUCCAUGUCAGCCCAAACGGACUCGAGCAGCCGUCGUCCUUGCCCAAAGCUCCGCGUGACCUCGCCCCCGACCGGAUCACGAGCACGAACGGCUGGGUCAACGAGCGUCUCUCCAGACUUCCAAUGCGUGGGCCUUGCCCUGCUCCUGGGCUAGCUUGGCGUCCCGGCCCGGUAGCGCCCCAGCCGAAGCCGGCCCAGCUCCAGCCGGCCGAGGCCUCGCAAGACCCAUCGACCCGGCUCAAGGCCACUUGAGUUAGCGCCAGCCCCACCUCUGUUAUAUUGCGCCCUAGGCACAUUAUAGCUAUAUUGUGCCACUAGUUUUGGCCCAUAUUAGUUUUUUUCGAGUUUGGCGGUUUUAAUUAUUACCAGGGAUUUCACAAAGAUGCAUAUUUUAAAACGGUCGUGACUUUUAAUCCGUGCACCGGAUUGCGACAAGUUAUAUAUGUAACUUGGCUAGAAUUUCGCUUA
Molecule: long non-coding RNA, 828 nt
Organism: Hordeum vulgare subsp. vulgare (domesticated barley)
Lineage: Eukaryota; Viridiplantae; Streptophyta; Magnoliopsida; Poales; Poaceae
Exons: 2
Source: RefSeq, a predicted model, not a curated record